GUUCCCUUUUCUUCCCAGGGCGUACUCAGGAGGAUGACUGCAACUUGGCCCUGAAAGCCUAAAAAUGUCAGCGUCUUUUCUCCCGAUUAUUCUGUCUGAGAUUCAUUUUUCCACGAGAAACAGAUUUCUGAGAGGUGCUGAGAGUAACUUCGCACUACCCUUUGUUCCUAAACUGUGAAUUUAGCACAAUACACACCCUAAAUCCCCCUUUAUUUAGCAGAUUCGGCUUUAAAGCUUUGUUGGAGGCAGACCUGCUCUGCCAGGAACAAAAAAAGCAUAGUAAUUAGUCAAAUUAUGACUUUAUUAUGCAUUUCAUUCAGCGCAGCCUUUUUAACUGGAAGCUUUUCCCAUUAAAGUCUCAUUAAAGAAAUUAUUUAAAUGAGCUGCCGUUUGAAAGAAUUCACGCAAGUGAAACAUAAAUUUCUAUUUAAAUCAAAGAAUCAGAUUAUUAACAGAAUUGCUAUUAAUUUUUUUUAAUCACAGUUUAUCUGUUUAAUCAUUUGGAGUAAAAUGGCCCUCGAGUUAGUCAGCUUGCAGUUAGUUUAAAACUGAGAGAAGAUGGGAUCUGAGGAUGUUUGGAGGCUGUGAAAGAUGAUUAAUACGUUUCGACUGCAGCUCCGUCUUUAAGUUUCAAAGCUGCAGUCUGCAUCUCCUCAGCACUGAUAAAAACUUAUGAAGGGGGAACUUUCACAGUCGUGUCUUCUUACAGUCAGAGGGGCUCACUAAACCUCCACAUCUUUGAGUUUGAGUUAGAAAUAAGCUAAUAAGGUGGGUUGAUUUUCUUUUUUGUCAGUUCUUUUCUUUUUAUGUGAACUGAUUGAUAAACCAGCAUUUGUGUUUGUUUGAGGUAGAAUAUGUAGUUUUGUUCUGAUGUGCAUAUGAUGCGAACUUUAUCGGCCAUCAGCUAUGCAACUGAUUAAAUCCCGCUGCUGUUGUUUGAGGAAUCUUUGUGCAACUUUAACUGCUUAAAUUUGCUGUUUCUAACGAUGAGCACGUUUCGAGGAUGCCGGUCGUUAAUAGCUUUAAUUCUGCAGCGGCAGUCAUUUUCUUUGUUUUCCUUCCCACACUGUUACACGUGCUGUGUUCAUGCCACAUUCACGGUGAAAGUCACACUGGGAAACUGAUCUAACUUGGCAUUAAAUUAUAAAGCAAAUGGCAUCACGUCAACACAGCAGUGUUUGUUUCUUAGGCGAUUAAACCCAAAUGUGAUGCUGUUUAUAAGGUUUGUGCUGUCAAAGCUCAGCAGGAAUCAUUUCACCUCUGCAUCCAUCAUUGCUGAUUUAAGUGCUUCUCACGUCUGUUUCACAGUCGAUCGCUUUAACCAAACCCUAAAAACUUCACAUUUUUGGAAGAAAUGUUUUGGUUGUGGUUCAGUUAUUUUGUUUCCAAUUGCAAUUUAUUUUAUUAAAACUAAUAAAGCAGACACCAAAUAAAGCACUCUGAAACUUUGGCUUUAUUUGGUGUCUGAACUUGUGAGCGAAGCAGACUCAGCUUGGAGCCGAUGCCGACAUCGAUUCUGAGAACUAUGAGGAGAAAUUAGGUUUUCCACACUCGGUGUCUGUGUUUACUCGCCGCUGGUGACGCCGUCUUUCUUUCUUUCUUACACAAACAGCCUUUUUCCCUCUGAAACAGAAAUCCAUCAAGUCAAUAGGCGGGGCAGUUUGCGAACGUCACAUGGUGACAUUCGAUAAACCAGAGUUCAAAUCUAAUUUGUCCUGAAUUAGAUUUGAGUGGGGUCAAUUUCACAAAAUCCUGUUGUGAUUUAUGGAUUAUUCCUUGGAAAAUUUUCUCAUAAUUUCCUAAACAUUUGUUGCUGUUUAAAAGAAAAAUAACAGGUAUGCUUUUUUUUUUUUUAAAGAUCUUUAUUCCCUAUGAGAUAAAAACAAAUGAAUUUGGUACUGUAGCAGAAUAUGGUGCAAAUCUAUGAGUUCAAAAGAUUAAGAAGUGGCUCUACAAUGUGCGCUCUGGACUGCUGAUCAAAGUAAAUACUCGCAAUAUCAGCUGUAAAGUCUAAGGAAAUUAUGAGCAACUCAGUGUCUCAUGAGUGUCGACAGUUGUCAGAUUAUCAGUUUACAUUUCUGUUCGUGUUUUGUCCUGUAGCUUCUGUCAAUAAAAUGUUUUCUCC
This is a long non-coding RNA of Oreochromis aureus, 2125 nucleotides long. The record is from Ensembl. Lineage: Eukaryota; Metazoa; Chordata; Actinopteri; Cichliformes; Cichlidae.